This 2738-nucleotide ribosomal RNA is filed under the name unidentified. RNAcentral's name for it is "bacterial LSU rRNA". It matches the Rfam family "Bacterial large subunit ribosomal RNA". The record is from RNAcentral.
CGAAUACCUGAGUAGCCUGCGAAAGCUUCGGGGAGUCGGCAAACAGACUUUGAUCCGGAGAUGUCUGAAUGGGGGAACCCAGCCAUCAUAAGAUGGUUAUCUUACGCUGAAUACAUAGGCGUAAGAGGCGAACCAGGGGAACUGAAACAUCUAAGUACCCUGAGGAAAAGAAAUCAACCGAGAUUCCCUUAGUAGUGGCGAGCGAACGGGGACUAGCCCUUAAGUGGCUUUGAGAUUAGCGGAACGCUCUGGAAAGUGCGGCCAUAGUGGGUGAUAGCCCUGUACGCGAAAAUCUCUUAGUCAUGAAAUCGAGUAGGACGGAGCACGAGAAACUUUGUCUGAAUAUGGGGGGACCAUCCUCCAAGGCUAAAUACUACUGACUGACCGAUAGUGAACUAGUACCGUGAGGGAAAGGCGAAAAGAACCCCGGAGAGGGGAGUGAAAUAGAUCCUGAAACCGUAUGCGUACAAGCAGUGGGAGCCCACUUUGUUGGGUGACUGCGUACCUUUUGUAUAAUGGGUCAGCGACUUAUUUUCAGUGGCGAGCUUAACCGAAUAGGGGAGGCGUAGCGAAAGCGAGUCUUAAUAGGGCGUCUAGUCGCUGGGAAUAGACCCGAAACCGGGCGAUCUAUCCAUGGGCAGGUUGAAGGUUGGGUAACACUAACUGGAGGACCGAACCGACUACCGUUGAAAAGUUAGCGGAUGACCUGUGGAUCGGAGUGAAAGGCUAAUCAAGCUCGGAGAUAGCUGGUUCUCCUCGAAAGCUAUUUAGGUAGCGCCUCAUGUAUCACUGUAGGGGGUAGAGCACUGUUUCGGCUAGGGGGUCAUCCCGACUUACCAAACCGAUGCAAACUCCGAAUACCUACAAGUGCCGAGCAUGGGAGACACACGGCGGGUGCUAACGUCCGUCGUGAAAAGGGAAACAACCCAGACCGUCAGCUAAGGUCCCAAAGUUAUGGUUAAGUGGGAAACGAUGUGGGAAGGCUUAGACAGCUAGGAGGUUGGCUUAGAAGCAGCCACCCUUUAAAGAAAGCGUAAUAGCUCACUAGUCGAGUCGGCCUGCGCGGAAGAUGUAACGGGGCUCAAACCAUACACCGAAGCUACGGGUAUCACGUAAGUGAUGCGGUAGAGGAGCGUUCUGUAAGCCUGUGAAGGUGAGUUGAGAAGCUUGCUGGAGGUAUCAGAAGUGCGAAUGCUGACAUGAGUAACGACAAUGGGUGUGAAAAACACCCACGCCGAAAGACCAAGGUUUCCUGCGCAACGUUAAUCGACGCAGGGUUAGUCGGUCCCUAAGGCGAGGCUGAAAAGCGUAGUCGAUGGAAAACAGGUUAAUAUUCCUGUACUUCUGGUUAUUGCGAUGGAGGGACGGAGAAGGCUAGGCCAGCUUGGCGUUGGUUGUCCAAGUUUAAGGUGGUAGGCUGGAAUCUUAGGUAAAUCCGGGAUUCUAAGGCCGAGAGCUGAUGACGAGCUAACUUUUAGUUAGCGAAGUGGUUGAUGCCAUGCUUCCAAGAAAAGCUUCUAAGCUUCAGGUAACCAGGAACCGUACCCCAAACCGACACAGGUGGUUGGGUAGAGAAUACCAAGGCGCUUGAGAGAACUCGGGUGAAGGAACUAGGCAAAAUGGCACCGUAACUUCGGGAGAAGGUGCGCCGGUGAGGGUGAAGGACUUGCUCCGUAAGCUCAUGCCGGUCGAAGAUACCAGGCCGCUGCGACUGUUUAUUAAAAACACAGCACUCUGCAAACACGAAAGUGGACGUAUAGGGUGUGACGCCUGCCCGGUGCCGGAAGGUUAAUUGAUGGGGUUAGCUAACGCGAAGCUCUUGAUCGAAGCCCCGGUAAACGGCGGCCGUAACUAUAACGGUCCUAAGGUAGCGAAAUUCCUUGUCGGGUAAGUUCCGACCUGCACGAAUGGCGUAACGAUGGCGGCGCUGUCUCCACCCGAGACUCAGUGAAAUUGAAAUCGCUGUGAAGAUGCAGUGUAUCCGCGGCUAGACGGAAAGACCCCGUGAACCUUUACUAUAGCUUUGCACUGGACUUUGAAUUUGCUUGUGUAGGAUAGGUGGGAGGCUUUGAAGCGUGGACGCCAGUCUGCGUGGAGCCAACCUUGAAAUACCACCCUGGCAACUUUGAGGUUCUAACUCAGGUCCGUUAUCCGGAUCGAGGACAGUGUAUGGUGGGUAGUUUGACUGGGGCGGUCUCCUCCUAAAGAGUAACGGAGGAGUACGAAGGUGCGCUCAGACCGGUCGGAAAUCGGUCGUAGAGUAUAAAGGCAAAAGCGCGCUUGACUGCGAGACAGACACGUCGAGCAGGUACGAAAGUAGGUCUUAGUGAUCCGGUGGUUCUGUAUGGAAGGGCCAUCGCUCAACGGAUAAAAGGUACUCCGGGGAUAACAGGCUGAUACCGCCCAAGAGUUCAUAUCGACGGCGGUGUUUGGCACCUCGAUGUCGGCUCAUCACAUCCUGGGGCUGAAGCCGGUCCCAAGGGUAUGGCUGUUCGCCAUUUAAAGUGGUACGCGAGCUGGGUUUAGAACGUCGUGAGACAGUUCGGUCCCUAUCUGCCGUGGACGUUUGAGAUUUGAGAGGGGCUGCUCCUAGUACGAGAGGACCGGAGUGGACGAACCUCUGGUGUUCCGGUUGUCACGCCAGUGGCAUUGCCGGGUAGCUAUGUUCGGAAUAGAUAACCGCUGAAAGCAUCUAAGCGGGAAACUAGCCUCAAGAUGAGAUCUCACUGGAACCUUGA